UACGAAGGGGGCUAGCGUUGCUCGGAAUCACUGGGCGUAAAGCGCACGUAGGCGGAUUGCUAAGUCAGGGGUGAAAUCCUGGAGCUCAACUCCAGAACUGCCUUUGAUACUGGCGACCUUGAGUCCGGGAGAGGUGAGUGGAACUGCGAGUGUAGAGGUGAAAUCCGUAGAUAUUCGCAAGAACACCAGUGGCGAAGGCGACUCACUGGCCCGAUACUGACGCUGAUGCGCGAAAGCGUGGGGAGCAAACAGG
RNAcentral lists this ribosomal RNA (253 nucleotides) under uncultured bacterium. Its description in RNAcentral is "partial 16S ribosomal RNA". It matches the Rfam family "Bacterial small subunit ribosomal RNA", at positions 524 to 776 of the family's 1533-position model. The record is from RNAcentral.